This 1010-nucleotide long non-coding RNA is filed under the name Zonotrichia albicollis (white-throated sparrow). Its description in RNAcentral is "lncRNA (ENSZALG00000017950.1)". The record is from RNAcentral. Lineage: Eukaryota; Metazoa; Chordata; Aves; Passeriformes; Passerellidae.
UCUGUGCCUUUUUUCAGCUACCUGGCAGCUUCGUCCAACGUCAGCUCUUGCUGCUCAGGAUGGCGUGAUGACUGCCCUCCCUACACACUGAUCCAGCUUGGGAAGAGAGGAGUAGGGGAGAGAAAAGGAGGGGGGCGGGGGGGGGGGAAGAGAAGUCUACUGUGCUUGUAUUGCCACAACUUUUCCUUCUAAUGGCUGCAAUAAUGCCUUUAACCCUUCCCUCUCCCUCCUCAUACUCUACACCUCUACCUGUCUAACUUCUACUGCCUCUGAUGCUGGGCUAAAUCUGCAGGGUUUUUGGCAAUUAUGAUCUACUUCAGGUGAAUCCCUCCUAUUUUUAACCUGGAUUCAUACUUCACUUAUUAGAAAAAGUUCUGCGUAUCUAAGAAUGGAUUCUUGUUAGGCCUGGAAGGUAAAGGAUGCUGUCAUAUGUGGUACUUAUACUUUACAUGCAUUGGAGGAGCAUGAAUGUCUUCCUCCCAGAAAAGUUAAGUUCUGCCUAGAAGCAGAGUCUGUCUCUGACCAUCAGAGCUCCUGAGGGACUCUCCACAGUCCCUUACAUCAGAUGUUUCACACAGGGUCAAUAACAGUGUGCUCCUCAUUUCUGAAUGCCCACCUCAGGACCCUGAUGGCUCAGAUGAAGAAGCACUGAGCAGUCACAGUUGCAAUUAAAGUGAAGAGAUGCCGUGAUUGAAGAUGCAGAUUAUUAUAAAAUGUGACAAAAUCCAACAACUUGGACCCUAGGUAGUUCAGUACUAGCUGUUGUCUAUGUGUAUCUGCUGCCUGUCUGUAAAGUGGAAUAUAUUACCUUGUCACUUCUGAGAGGUUUUGUUAAGAUAAAUUAACCUUCAGGAAGCUCUCAGAGCUUUGCAUGAUGAGCACCAUAGGGAAGCCCAGAAGGGAAUGAAUAAUUCUGUCUUCAGCUCAGUGUUUGAGUGGUGUGCUUGGUUGAGGCCUAGGGACACACACUGAAAAAUAAAAAUAAGCCAAAUGUUGAAAACUUGCUGAUU